AACAACAUUGACAAGUGCGACAACAACUUGUAGCAUUGGAGUCCUACACUUUCGGUAAUGAUCUAGAGUUUUUUCUUCAAACAAAUCUAUUAUGUUGUUGCGGUUUGGCUUAAAUCGUUGGUUGUUUCUACUAAAUUGUUAUGAAUUUCAUCGUCGUUUUCCAUAUUUCACUAUCAAAAAUGGUUUGUCUUCAACUUGGUGCACUUGUUGAGUAUGUGAUGUUACACUGUUGUUAUUAAUUCUCGAUUUCCCGUAAUAAUUUAUAUAAUGGCAUGCGUAUGUUAUCGUGUCGUGUUGUUAUGUCGGUUAUAUUUUUGUUUCAAUAACAGCUUCGGUGGAAUU
RNAcentral lists this long non-coding RNA (342 nucleotides) under Lathyrus oleraceus (garden pea). RNAcentral's name for it is "Pisum sativum (pea) long non-coding RNA (PSAT_LNC007521)". Lineage: Eukaryota; Viridiplantae; Streptophyta; Magnoliopsida; Fabales; Fabaceae. The record is from RNAcentral.